CAGAGGGUGCGAGCGUUGUUCGGAAUUACUGGGCGUAAAGCGCGCGCAGGCGGCCCUUUAAGUCCGUCGGUCAAAUGCCGGGGCUCAACCCCGUUGCAUGCCGCGGAUACUGGAGGGCUGGAGACACGUAGAGGCAAGCGGAAUUCCGGGUGUAGCGGUGGAAUGCGUAGAGAUCCGGAAGAACACCGGAGGCGGAGGCGGCUUGCUGGGCGUGAUCUGACGCUGAGGCGCGAAAGCGUGGGGAGCGAACAGGAUUAGAUACCCUGGUAGUCCACGCCGUAAACGAUGGGCACUAGACGCUGGUGGGAUCGACCCCUUCGGUGUCGCAGCUAACGCGAUAAGUGCCCCGCCUGGGGAGUACGGCCACAAGGCUG
This 374-nucleotide ribosomal RNA is filed under the name uncultured organism. Its description in RNAcentral is "bacterial SSU rRNA". It matches the Rfam family "Bacterial small subunit ribosomal RNA", at positions 526 to 896 of the family's 1533-position model. The record is from RNAcentral.